ACUUACUCCGUGAAUCGG
Molecule: small nuclear RNA, 18 nt
Filed under: Arabidopsis thaliana (thale cress)
Lineage: Eukaryota; Viridiplantae; Streptophyta; Magnoliopsida; Brassicales; Brassicaceae
Description: snRNA_13744
Source: RNAcentral